GAUGAACGCUGGCGGCGUGCCUAAUACAUGCAAGUCGAGCGAACAGACGAGGAGCUUGCUCCUCUGACGUUAGCGGCGGACGGGUGAGUAACACGUGGAUAACCUACCUAUAAUACUGGGAUAACUUCGGGAAACCGGAGCUAAUACCGGAUAAUAUAUUGAACCGCAUGGUUCAAUAGUGAAAGACGGUUUUGCUGUCACUUAUAGAUGUAUCCGCGCCGCAUUAGCUAGUUGGUAAGGUAACGGCUUACCAAGGCAACGAUGCGUAGCCGACCUGAGAGGGUGAUCGGCCACACUGGAACUGAGACACGGUCCAGACUCCUACGGGAGGCAGCAGUAGGGAAUCUUACGCAAUGGGCGAAAGCCUGACGGAGCAACGCCGCGUGAAUGAUGAAGGUCUUCGGAUCGUAAAACUCUGUUAUUAGGGAAGAACAAAUGUGUAAGUAACUAUGCACGUCUUGACGGUACCUAAUCAGAAAGCCACGGCUAACUACGUG
RNAcentral lists this ribosomal RNA (497 nucleotides) under uncultured bacterium. RNAcentral describes it as "partial 16S ribosomal RNA". It matches the Rfam family "Bacterial small subunit ribosomal RNA", at positions 28 to 507 of the family's 1533-position model. The record is from RNAcentral.